UACGGGGGGGGCAAGCGUUGUUCGGAAUUACUGGGCGUAAAGGGCGCGCAGGCGGUCUUGAAAGUCAGGCGUGAAAGCCCCGGGCUUAACCUGGGAAUUGCGCUUGAUACUCUGAGACUGGAGUACGGGAGAGGAGAGUGGAAUUCCCAGUGUAGAGGUGAAAUUCGUAGAUAUUGGGAAGAACACCAGUGGCGAAGGCGGCUCUCUGGACCGUAACUGACGCUGAGGCGCGAAAGCGUGGGGAGCAAACAGG
RNAcentral lists this ribosomal RNA (253 nucleotides) under uncultured bacterium. RNAcentral's name for it is "partial 16S ribosomal RNA". It matches the Rfam family "Bacterial small subunit ribosomal RNA", at positions 524 to 776 of the family's 1533-position model. The record is from RNAcentral.